Molecule: ribosomal RNA, 508 nt
Filed under: uncultured Entrophospora
Lineage: Eukaryota; Fungi; Glomeromycota; Glomeromycetes; Entrophosporales; Entrophosporaceae
Description: SSU rRNA
Rfam family: Eukaryotic small subunit ribosomal RNA
Source: RNAcentral
AGCAGCCGCGGUAAUUCCAGCUCCAAUAGCGUAUAUUAAAGUUGUUGCAGUUAAAAAGCUCGUAGUUGAAUUUCGGGAUUGACGUGAUGGUCAUGCCUUAAGGGGUAUGAACUGUUACUGUUGAUUUCUCACCUUCUGGAGAAACUUGAUGUCCUUUAUUGGGUGUCUUGCGGAUCCAGGACCUUUACCUUGAAAAAAUUAGAGUGUUUAAAGCAGGCAUUUUUGCUCGAAUACAUUAGCAUGGAAUAAUAGAAUAGGACGGCAUGGUUCUAUUUUGUUGGUUUCUAGGAUCACCGUAAUGAUUAAUAGGGAUAGUUGGGGGCAUUAGUAUUCAAUUGUCAGAGGUGAAAUUCUUGGAUUUAUUGAAGACUAACUACUGCGAAAGCAUUUGCCAAGGAUGUUUUUCAUUAAUCAAGAACGAAAGUUAGGGGAUCGAAGACGAUCAGAUACCGUCGUAGUCUUAAUCAUAAACUAUGCCGACUAGGAAUCAGACGAUGUUAAUUUUUUU